GCCGGGUGCAGUGGCGUGUGCCUAUGGUCCCAGCUACUUGGGAGGCUGAGGUGGGAGAAUCACUUGAGCCCAGGAGGUCAAGGCUGCAGUGAGCAUGUUCACACAACUGCACUCCAGCCUGGGUGACAGAGUGAGAUCCUGUCUCAA
RNAcentral lists this non-coding RNA (147 nucleotides) under Pan troglodytes (chimpanzee). Lineage: Eukaryota; Metazoa; Chordata; Mammalia; Primates; Hominidae. The record is from Rfam by way of RNAcentral.